AGGACGAACGCUGGCGGCGUGCUUAACACAUGCAAGUCGAGCGGAAAGGCCCUUCGGGGUACUCGAGCGGCGAACGGGUGAGUAACACGUGAGCAACCUGCCCCUGGCUCUGGGAUAGCCUCCGGAAACGGGGAUUAAUACCGGACAUGACCUGCUGCCGCAUGGUGGCGGGUGGAAAGUUUUUCGGCCAGGGUGGGCUCGCGGCCUAUCAGCUUGGUUGGGGGGUGACGGCCCACCAAGGCGACGACGGGUA
Molecule: ribosomal RNA, 253 nt
Filed under: uncultured bacterium
Lineage: Bacteria
Description: partial small subunit ribosomal RNA
Rfam family: Bacterial small subunit ribosomal RNA
Source: RNAcentral